This 715-nucleotide long non-coding RNA is filed under the name Homo sapiens (human). RNAcentral's name for it is "long non-coding RNA NONHSAT171782.1". The record is from RNAcentral. Lineage: Eukaryota; Metazoa; Chordata; Mammalia; Primates; Hominidae.
GCGCCCAACCUCAGUUGUUCACAUUCCCCAUGUGAUCUCCUGUUGCUGCUUCACCUUGGAACUGUCUCGGCUUUGGUGACCUUGUAGGAAACUGGAACCCCAGCACCAUUGUUUGGCUCCUGGAAGCCUUGGGGAGAGGAAUUUCCCACAGGGCAGGGCCUGGGUCCUGAUUCCCUGCCUCUUUACUCCCUAUUCAUCCCGGCUACACCCUUGGGCCCCCAUCCUUGCUUGGCUCCAGUAGUGGCUGGCACAGCUGUUGUGGUCAGCCAGGGAUGGCAGGGCACUGGGGAGCAGAAGAGGAGAGGUCACACAGUGCGGAACUGGGAGCAGGAGCUAGGACAAGGAAGGCUGGACUUGGGCCAUGGAUUCCCUUCCUGCAGACUUGGGAGACAGGGGCACUAUCCACAAGGUGGUGGAACCGGGGGAGCAGGAGCACAGCUUCGCCUUCAACAUCAUGGAGAUCCAGCCCUUCCGCCGCGCGGCUGCCAUCCAGACCAUGUCGCUGGAUGCUGAGCGGAGGAAGCUGUAUGUGAGCUCCCAGUGGGAGGUGAGCCAGGUGCCCCUGGACCUGUGUGAGGUCUAUGGCGGGGGCUGCCACGGUUGCCUCAUGUCCCGAGACCCCUACUGCGGCUGGGACCAAGGCCGCUGCAUCUCCAUCUACAGCUCCGAACGGUCAGUGCUGCAAUCCAUUAAUCCAGCCGAGCCACACAAGGAG